This 108-nucleotide small RNA is filed under the name Salmonella enterica. RNAcentral describes it as "partial RtT sRNA". It matches the Rfam family "RtT RNA", at positions 27 to 130 of the family's 130-position model. From Rfam's summary of the family: This family represents a bacterial cis-regulatory element known as RtT RNA. The exact function of RtT is unknown although it is thought that it may be involved in changing the cellular response in relation to amino acid starvation. The record is from RNAcentral. Lineage: Bacteria; Pseudomonadati; Pseudomonadota; Gammaproteobacteria; Enterobacterales; Enterobacteriaceae.
AACCUCCGGGGGCAGGAGGUUCGACUCGAGCGCAGCGAGAGAACGUUGCGUCAGCAACGGCCCUCAGGGCGAGCCACGCAGUGGCGAGUCAUCCUCUAUCACCGACCA